GUUCACCGACUUUGAACUCUCUUCUUUCAUCACUGUCGAACCCAUCCUCCUCACCUUCCAACUUGUUCUUCUUCUCACUAGUGGCAUGCAUCAUUUUUUCCCUUCUUCCCAUUUUCGAUUUUUCUACAACCAGAGAGAGAGAGAGACAGAGGCCUCCGUCGCUCCUCUGUUCUUCCCUAUCCUUUCCGUCCGUUUGCCGGUGACUGUGGGUGCUUUCAUUGCUGCCGUUGGAGGACUAGGUCGUGGGUUCUUCUCUUCCUCCUCUAUGGUUCAUCAUUGAUCCUUUCUCUUUCCUCUUCCCUUCGUGCUGCAAAGAGAUUCAGAUCCGGCUCUGUUUCGUGUUUGUGCUGUCGUCGUGAUGCGUCGGGCCUUCUAUUCCUCCCUCCACGUUUCAACGCCGCCACUGUGCUUCCAUUUCUCCUCUGUUUGUGAGCUGCUGUGCGUAGUUUCUGUCAAUCCUCUUCUUUGUUGUUCACUGUUCUACAUCGCGGGAGUCUCUUCUUCCCCUUCAUUUCUUCUUUGCUUUUUGGUAACUAGCUUCUCAAAGGAGUCCAUGUCUCAAUGGAUCUAGUAGUGCUGAUACUAGUGUUGACAUGAAUGACCAGCAAAUUCAGCUAGAAGCAAUUCAAAUAAUAAGAGGAUUGACAUUAAUGGCUGAGGUGAAUAGAAGAAGGGAUACUAGACAGAAAUAUGAAAUCAAAUGAAAUUACAAAAGUCAACCUAUCAAGAGCAACAGAAAUAAAUUCAUUACCUACAUAGAGGUUGUGGCAAAACCAAAUGUACCGAUUACAAUUAGGCACUGGAACAAUAUUACUCCAGCAACGAAGAAUAUAUUUGGGAGCAAUUAGAGGAAUUGAGCAACAAAAAGAAAGAGUUGCAUGAGAAAUAUCUAUACUCUUACAAGAAAGGGCCCAUAAGAUAUGCAGGAAUUGAGCAACAAAUGAUUGAGUGAGAGGGUUUAGGAGUAAGCUCAGUUUCACAUCACAAAGUCUUCAUAGAAAGUCAAACUAACAAAGAAGGAAACAAUGUUGAUGAACGUGUUUAGGAGCUUGAUGACAAAUGUACUGAGAUCGAGAAAAGUGGCACACUUGAUGAUGAUGUCUUGGACAAGGCAUUGGGUAAUCCCAAACACCCUGGUCGAGUUAGGAGCUAUGGCUUUAGUGUUAUGAAAAAACAAAUAUUCAGGAUACAAAAGGAGACAAAGUCAAUAGAGGAUGUAGGUGUAAGUGCUGAGAUUGCCACGCUAAAAAAGAAGCUAUCUAGGCAACGAAAUAUGAUUGAAGCCUUGCUAAAGGACAAGGAGAGGUGGGAGGAAGAGUUUCAUAUUAGUCCCAGCAAGGAAGAUAUAUUUUUACUCCUCUUCCCGUGCGAAAAAACAGAGCUUCGAGAGAGUUCAUUUUUCCUUCUCUUCACCGACCUUGAGUCCUCUCAUUCUUCAGCGUUGAGCCAUCUCUCUCUUGUCCUUGUUGUUGACUUAUUUGUUGCCAUCAACUUGAGCUGUCCUCACCGUUGUGGUUAGACGCUGGAAGUGUGAAGACGCUAGUUCUGCUGUUGUCAUUCUCUACUCUUUUAGGUUUGUACGGUGUGGUUUGGGAGCUAAAGAGUGGCAGCUCCACUACACGUUGGUUCAAGGUAAGACACUGAUUCUUCCUCUUUCUCCUUCGGUUUCAAUAGCAACAUGUAUUCUCCCUGUUCCUUGGCCGAAGAGUGUGCCCUUGUUCCUCUCAGUUGCUGUCAUGGAUUUUUCUGAAAUUGAGUGGUAGUUUCGGUUGAUACUAUGCAUUAUCCUAAGUUGGUGGUGGGCUUAAUGUUGAUGAUAGAAUUAAUGUUGGAAGUUGAUUAAAUGGUUGGGAGAUUAUUGUGAGUAGAAUUGGAAUGCACUCAAGAUGUUUGUAGAAAUGAUUGAGAGAAGAAAUUUAAAAAAAUAAUGUUGCUAAAUUGGUAUAGUAUAAUUUGGAAAGUUUAUGUGCCAGAAGUGGCUUGAUUUAUUGAUUGAAAUUUUAAAAUACUAAAUUAGGAGUAAGGAUUACAUAGAGUAUUUGUAUAACAAUUUAUUAAGUUUGAAGAAAGCAUAAGAAUAGUUGAUAUGAUUUAUGAUUGAAGAUGAGUUAUAGGAGGUAUAAGAAUGAAUUAAGAUAUAUUAAAUAGUUCAUUUGAUUCAAGUAUAUUUUGAUUGUUAAAAUGAUCAAAAGAAUAAUUUGGAUUAAUUAAAGUGGCUAAUUUCUAAUAUAGAAGUUUAGUGAAGUUUAUGUGUGUGUUUAGGUCUAUAGGUAAUGCAGUGCUAAGCUUGAAAUGUAUGAGAGAAGAAUUUGGCAGAAUGUAAGGGUUUAAUUUCCAUAUUGUUAGUUGAAGGAACAUGUGUAAGUAGUGAUUUGAGUCAUUAAUUAAGUUGGAAUUCUAAAGUACCUAAGGUAGAUCAUGUUAAAGUAAAUGAUGGUUGUGACAUUUUAUUAAGUUUCUGAAGGUACAAAAGGAGGUGGAAAUAUUGUCUAUUGUUUUAAUUGACUUGUUAAUAAGUUAAUUAAUCAAUAAUGAAUUUAUAGAUUGUAUAUUUUAGGUUGCUAUAUUGUUUGAAAAUCAAUUUAAAUGUUCACCAAGUGUUAGAAAAUUACUUGAUAAAUAAUUUUAGAAUUAUGAUUUAUUUGUCAGGAAAUUAAGAGCAUUAUUAGAAUUAAAGAGGAAAGUUAAAAGAUACAAGUUUUAGAAUUUUGGGAAAUUUUUAGGUGAGUGGGUAGUGUCCCAAAUAAUUUAUUGCAAAGUGUUUAUAAAUUUCUUUAUUUAAAUGUUUACAUUAUUCCUUUAUAAGUUGUAUAGAUAUUCUUGUCAAUUUUAAUUUUAGGAUUCAUACAAUUCUUUUUACUUGCCUAACUUUUAUAUUAGCUGGUUAUUAUGGAAUUUGCUUUAUAUUCAUUAAGAAUUAUGUUACUGUUAAAGAAUAUUUGGAUCUAGUACAUUAGUAACAGAAUAUUUAUUCUAAACAUUUUUGUUGUUUAAAUUUUAUGAUUUAUAUCACAUAUAAAAAAACGGUGAUUCAUGCAUAGAGAAAGUUGAAAAGAAAAUAUAAUAGUCGAAUAUUAUAUUUUGAAAAGAAUAGUUUUCAAUGUAUGUUUCAACUCCAUGCACGCUCGAUUUGAAUUAGGGGGACUAAGUUUUAGAAUGCUAGAUGCUAACGACAAUUCCGUUAGCCCUUGGUGCGCCAUGGUAUACCUAGCUAGCAGGGUGCUUAUAGGAGGUGUUAGCCCCGUGCACAGGCCAACGCACGUGGAAUGGAGGGAUGGAUAUUCGCGAGCAUUGUACUCACGCUUGUUUCGUGGAUUUCGUGCUUGACUUGUUUCAUAGCUUCUAGUCACGCUUGAUUAUUUCAUGGCUUUAAGCCGCGAUUGUUAGUUAUUUGCCCUCAUGGAUUGUGUUAACGCUUGUUAAUCGUUCUGAUAAAGUCCCACUAAAAGAGAAUUUUCAAAAACUUAUUAUUUUUAAAUUUAUUUUAUUAAACAAACUAUUAUUUGAUUGUAUAUGAUUUUAUAUGGUAAAUUUCCUCCUAAAUUGGUUUUAAAAGGAAAAAAAUCAUUGUUUUAUAUUAUUUAUUCACAAACACUUUUUUAUCAUUAUUUGAAUUCAUUUUAUAUACUUUUAUGAGUUGUACAAUUAUUGAUAACCUAUGAAACUCCAAAAUUAUUGGUUUAGUUCAUGGUUAUACUGUUGAGCAAACUUUAUCAUUUAUUGUUAGUAAAAUAUGGGUUUUAAUAUUCCAUUGAUUUGUUAUAAACCAAAUUUUUUAAUUAUUACUUUUACAUGUUUUAUAUAUAAUUUUCAUUGGGACGCUACUCAUCAAAAAAUUUCUUUAGUCUCAGAUAAUGUAGUUGAUCUUACACCUCCUACUAAUCAUUGAGGGGCUCUAUUGCUUUUUGGACAGUGGAAGCAUGCUUCAAUCAUUUAUUUUAAUGUAAAUAUUCAUUAUAUUAUAUAAUGGUACUUAGUGCUCCACGUAUAUUAUAGUUAAGUUCUGGUCUUAUUUUGUUAUCAUGUAAUCUUCUGGUGUGGAGCUAAGCUCCUUUUCUGGAUUGGCUGACAGGUUUAUUGAUUAUAGAAAUUUUGGAUGUCCUAAUUAGAGGGGAGGCUCUGUCGAAAUUUUC
Molecule: long non-coding RNA, 4133 nt
Organism: Prosopis cineraria
Lineage: Eukaryota; Viridiplantae; Streptophyta; Magnoliopsida; Fabales; Fabaceae
Exons: 7
Source: RefSeq, a predicted model, not a curated record